Molecule: unclassified non-coding RNA, 203 nt
Filed under: Hevea brasiliensis (rubber tree)
Lineage: Eukaryota; Viridiplantae; Streptophyta; Magnoliopsida; Malpighiales; Euphorbiaceae
Source: RNAcentral
GUCGUGCUCCUGCAGCUUAUCUGUACGUGGUGGACCUAUCACAUAAACUAACUGCAGAUUUGUCUUGCCAUUCCUUUCUAAGUUCACAGAAUGCAUAGCUUCUCCAAGUUGCUUUAUAAAUUGCAAUGCCAGAUUUCUCAUAUCUGAAUUAUGCAAGAUGCCAUAAGCCAUCCAUCUUGACCAGGACUCAAGUACAAUACCAU